This 492-nucleotide ribosomal RNA is filed under the name uncultured bacterium. RNAcentral's name for it is "partial 16S ribosomal RNA". It matches the Rfam family "Bacterial small subunit ribosomal RNA", at positions 29 to 507 of the family's 1533-position model. The record is from RNAcentral.
AGUGAACGCUGGCGGUAGGCCUAACACAUGCAAGUCGAACGGCAGCACAGUAAGAGCUUGCCCUUACGGGUGGCGAGUGGCGGACGGGUGAGGAAUACAUCGGAAUCUACUUUUUCGUGGGGGAUAACGUAGGGAAACUUACGCUAAUACCGCAUAUGUCCUACGGGUGAAAUCAGGGGAUCUUCGGACCUUUCGCGUCUGAAUUAGCCGAUGUCGGAUUAGCUAGUUUGCGGGGUAAAGGCCCACCAAGGCCACGCUCCGUAGCUGGUCUGAGAGGAUGAUCAGCCACACUGGAACUGAGACACGGUCCAGACCCCUACGGGAGGCAGCAGUGGGGAAUAUUGGACAAUGGGCGCAAGCCUGAACCAGCCAUACCGCGUGGGUGAAGAAGGCCUUCGGGUUGUAAAGCCCUUUUGUUGGGAAAGAAAAGCAGCAGGUUAAUACCCCGCUGUUCUGACGGUACCCAAAGAAUAAGCACCGGCUAACUUCGUG